Molecule: non-coding RNA, 80 nt
Filed under: Pseudo-nitzschia pungens
Lineage: Eukaryota; Bacillariophyta; Bacillariophyceae; Bacillariales; Bacillariaceae
Source: RNAcentral
AUAUGACAUAGUAACUUAGCACUACCAGCUAGUACGAGCAUGAUUUCUGAACAACAACAGUCAUCAUAAAAAAGACGACC